Non-coding RNA from Pelodiscus sinensis (Chinese soft-shelled turtle), 1003 nucleotides. The record is from RefSeq and is a predicted model, not a curated record. NCBI's taxonomy places the organism in Eukaryota, Metazoa, Chordata, Testudines, Trionychidae.
UGGUGUAGGCCCCAGCACCCCCUACAGGAGGCUAGUGGCCUUGCUGCACCCCAUCCCAGCAGGAGGAGCGGAGAAGAGGUCUUCCAGAUGCUAUAGAGUGGCUGUCUCUGUGGCAGCCAAUCAGGACCCAGCAGAGAGGAGUGAAAGGAAUGCAGGCUCAUCAAGCACAACAACAGACCCAAUCAAUGCAAACUGCUGCUUGGCUCCUGGCUGAAAUCAGGAGCAGCUGGGUUAGAAUCAGAGCUCCUGAGAUACUAGUUCCAACUUGGCAAGAACAGAACUGCAGCAGCAAAUGCAAAACACAAAAGAUCUCCAAUCUUUGGGGGAAUGGCAACACCCCAGGGUGGCUACCUAUUCUUCCAUUUAGUCCCACUUGCCUGUGAAAGUUCUUCCUUUGACUACAAUGGGCUUUGGGUCAGGUUACCAGGUAGGGUCCAUAUAGCCUGCUACACACACAAAUGUAGCUCCUCAGUAGGGUGGCAAUUGUACUUUUUAAUCUAGGACUUUUCUAUUUGCAUAAACCAUUCAAUGCACAUAAAUAAAUGCAACCCAAGGUUUUACUUACAAAAUUUGUUUGCUAUAGAUCUAUGCUGCUAACUUCCAUUAUUUAAUUAUGCUCUUGAUAGUGGUUCUUUUUAAAGGUAUAGACCAAUGUGGGAAUAAAGAAAUUGUUUAAAUAAAUAGAUUUGGGCUACUUUUGGGCUAUGAUUUUGUUUAAAUGACUGUGGACUGUUGAUUCAGUAGAAAUCUGGCAAUUGUAUUUUUGCUGAUUUUUUCCUAACCCAGCUGAGACCACGGUGUUAUCCAUUGCUUUAACUCAUCUGUAGUGUUGUUCAUUUUUCAGUAAUUUACUUUUAAACAUUCCUAGAAGAUAACUCUCAUUCUCCUCUUCACAAUUUGGACCAUAAGAGAUUUAAAAAAUAACAAUUGUAAAGCUAAGCAGAUUUUAUUUAUCUUUACUAAAUAUAGUGUACAAGUUAUCAAACUUGUAUUGUCGAGUCAA